This 427-nucleotide ribosomal RNA is filed under the name uncultured Pseudomonas sp. RNAcentral describes it as "bacterial SSU rRNA". It matches the Rfam family "Bacterial small subunit ribosomal RNA", at positions 956 to 1382 of the family's 1533-position model. The record is from RNAcentral. Lineage: Bacteria; Pseudomonadati; Pseudomonadota; Gammaproteobacteria; Pseudomonadales; Pseudomonadaceae.
GCAACGCGAAGAACCUUACCAGGCCUUGACAUGCAGAGGACUUUCCAGAGAUGGAUUGGUGCCUUCGGGAACUCUGACACAGGUGCUGCAUGGCUGUCGUCAGCUCGUGUCGUGAGAUGUUGGGUUAAGUCCCGUAACGAGCGCAACCCUUGUCCUUAGUUACCAGCACGUUAUGGUGGGCACUCUAAGGAGACUGCCGGUGACAAACCGGAGGAAGGUGGGGAUGACGUCAAGUCAUCGUGGCCCUUACGGCCUGGGCUACACACGUGCUACAAUGGUCGGUACAAAGGGUUGCCAAGCCGCGAGGUGGAGCUAAUCCCAUAAAACCAAUCGUAGUCCGGAUCGCAGUCUGCAACUCGACUGCGUGAAGUCGGAAUCGCUAGUAAUCGUGAAUCAGAAUGUCACGGUGAAUACGUUCCCGGGCCUU